This 2902-nucleotide ribosomal RNA is filed under the name Escherichia coli BIDMC 49b. RNAcentral describes it as "bacterial LSU rRNA". It matches the Rfam family "Bacterial large subunit ribosomal RNA". Lineage: Bacteria; Pseudomonadati; Pseudomonadota; Gammaproteobacteria; Enterobacterales; Enterobacteriaceae. The record is from RNAcentral.
UUAAGCGACUAAGCGUACACGGUGGAUGCCCUGGCAGUCAGAGGCGAUGAAGGACGUGCUAAUCUGCGAUAAGCGUCGGUGAGGUGAUAUGAACCGUUAUAACCGGCGAUUUCCGAAUGGGGAAACCCAGUGUGUUUCGACACACUAUCAUUAACUGAAUCCAUAGGUUAAUGAGGCGAACCGGGGGAACUGAAACAUCUAAGUACCCCGAGGAAAAGAAAUCAACCGAGAUUCCCCCAGUAGCGGCGAGCGAACGGGGAGGAGCCCAGAGCCUGAAUCAGUGUGUGUGUUAGUGGAAGCGUCUGGAAAGGCGCGCGAUACAGGGUGACAGCCCCGUACACAAAAAUGCACAUAUUGUGAGCUCGAUGAGUAGGGCGGGACACGUGGUAUCCUGUCUGAAUAUGGGGGGACCAUCCUCCAAGGCUAAAUACUCAUGACUGACCGAUAGUGAACCAGUACCGUGAGGGAAAGGCGAAAAGAACCCCGGCGAGGGGAGUGAAAAAGAACCUGAAACCGUGUACGUACAAGCAGUGGGAGCCUCUUUAUGGGGUGACUGCGUACCUUUUGUAUAAUGGGUCAGCGACUUAUAUUCUGUAGCAAGGUUAACCGAAUAGGGGAGCCGAAGGGAAACCGAGUCUUAACUGGGCGUUAAGUUGCAGGGUAUAGACCCGAAACCCGGUGAUCUAGCCAUGGGCAGGUUGAAGGUUGGGUAACACUAACUGGAGGACCGAACCGACUAAUGUUGAAAAAUUAGCGGAUGACUUGUGGCUGGGGGUGAAAGGCCAAUCAAACCGGGAGAUAGCUGGUUCUCCCCGAAAGCUAUUUAGGUAGCGCCUCGUGAAUUCAUCUCCGGGGGUAGAGCACUGUUUCGGCAAGGGGGUCAUCCCGACUUACCAACCCGAUGCAAACUGCGAAUACCGGAGAAUGUUAUCACGGGAGACACACGGCGGGUGCUAACGUCCGUCGUGAAGAGGGAAACAACCCAGACCGCCAGCUAAGGUCCCAAAGUCAUGGUUAAGUGGGAAACGAUGUGGGAAGGCCCAGACAGCCAGGAUGUUGGCUUAGAAGCAGCCAUCAUUUAAAGAAAGCGUAAUAGCUCACUGGUCGAGUCGGCCUGCGCGGAAGAUGUAACGGGGCUAAACCAUGCACCGAAGCUGCGGCAGCGACACUAUGUGUUGUUGGGUAGGGGAGCGUUCUGUAAGCCUGUGAAGGUGGCCUGUGAGGGUUGCUGGAGGUAUCAGAAGUGCGAAUGCUGACAUAAGUAACGAUAAAGCGGGUGAAAAGCCCGCUCGCCGGAAGACCAAGGGUUCCUGUCCAACGUUAAUCGGGGCAGGGUGAGUCGACCCCUAAGGCGAGGCCGAAAGGCGUAGUCGAUGGGAAACAGGUUAAUAUUCCUGUACUUGGUGUUACUGCGAAGGGGGGACGGAGAAGGCUAUGUUGGCCGGGCGACGGUUGUCCCGGUUUAAGCGUGUAGGCUGGUUUUCCAGGCAAAUCCGGAAAACCAAGGCUGAGGCGUGAUGACGAGGCACUACGGUGCUGAAGCGACAAAUGCCCUGCUUCCAGGAAAAGCCUCUAAGCAUCAGGUAACAUCAAAUCGUACCCCAAACCGACACAGGUGGUCAGGUAGAGAAUACCAAGGCGCUUGAGAGAACUCGGGUGAAGGAACUAGGCAAAAUGGUGCCGUAACUUCGGGAGAAGGCACGCUGAUAUGUAGGUGAAGCGACUUGCUCGUGGAGCUGAAAUCAGUCGAAGAUACCAGCUGGCUGCAACUGUUUAUUAAAAACACAGCACUGUGCAAACACGAAAGUGGACGUAUACGGUGUGACGCCUGCCCGGUGCCGGAAGGUUAAUUGAUGGGGUUAGCGGUAACGCGAAGCUCUUGAUCGAAGCCCCGGUAAACGGCGGCCGUAACUAUAACGGUCCUAAGGUAGCGAAAUUCCUUGUCGGGUAAGUUCCGACCUGCACGAAUGGCGUAAUGAUGGCCAGGCUGUCUCCACCCGAGACUCAGUGAAAUUGAACUCGCUGUGAAGAUGCAGUGUACCCGCGGCAAGACGGAAAGACCCCGUGAACCUUUACUAUAGCUUGACACUGAACAUUGAGCCUUGAUGUGUAGGAUAGGUGGGAGGCUUUGAAGUGUGGACGCCAGUCUGCAUGGAGCCGACCUUGAAAUACCACCCUUUAAUGUUUGAUGUUCUAACGUUGGCCCGUAAUCCGGGUUGCGGACAGUGUCUGGUGGGUAGUUUGACUGGGGCGGUCUCCUCCUAAAGAGUAACGGAGGAGCACGAAGGUUGGCUAAUCCUGGUCGGACAUCAGGAGGUUAGUGCAAUGGCAUAAGCCAGCUUGACUGCGAGCGUGACGGCGCGAGCAGGUGCGAAAGCAGGUCAUAGUGAUCCGGUGGUUCUGAAUGGAAGGGCCAUCGCUCAACGGAUAAAAGGUACUCCGGGGAUAACAGGCUGAUACCGCCCAAGAGUUCAUAUCGACGGCGGUGUUUGGCACCUCGAUGUCGGCUCAUCACAUCCUGGGGCUGAAGUAGGUCCCAAGGGUAUGGCUGUUCGCCAUUUAAAGUGGUACGCGAGCUGGGUUUAGAACGUCGUGAGACAGUUCGGUCCCUAUCUGCCGUGGGCGCUGGAGAACUGAGGGGGGCUGCUCCUAGUACGAGAGGACCGGAGUGGACGCAUCACUGGUGUUCGGGUUGUCAUGCCAAUGGCACUGCCCGGUAGCUAAAUGCGGAAGAGAUAAGUGCUGAAAGCAUCUAAGCACGAAACUUGCCCCGAGAUGAGUUCUCCCUGACUCCUUGAGAGUCCUGAAGGAACGUUGAAGACGACGACGUUGAUAGGCCGGGUGUGUAAGCGCAGCGAUGCGUUGAGCUAACCGGUACUAAUGAACCGUGAGGCUUAACCUU